GGGUAACGGCCCACCAAGGCGACGAUGACUAGGGGAUCUGAGAGGAUGACCCCCCACACUGGUACUGAGACACGGACCAGACUCCUACGGGAGGCAGCAGUAAGGAAUAUUGGUCAAUGGAGGCAACUCUGAACCAGCCAUGCCGCGUGCAGGAAGACAGCCCUCUGGGUCGUAAACUGCUCUUAUUCGGGAAUAAACCACAUUACGUGUAAUGUGCUGAAUGUACCGAAGGAAUAAGGAUCGGCUAACUCCGUGCCAGCAGCCGCGGUAAUACGGAGGAUCCAAGCGUUAUCCGGAUUUAUUGGGUUUAAAGGGUGCGUAGGCGGCUUAUUAAGUCAGGGGUGAAAGACGGUGGCUCAACCAUCGCAGUGCCUUUGAUACUGAUGAGCUUGAAUACACUAGAGGUAGGCGGAAUGUGACAAGUAGCGGUGAAACGCAUAGAUAUGUCACAGAACACCGAUUGCGAAGGCAGCUUACUAUGGUGUGAUUGACGCUGAGGCACGAAAGCGUGGGGAUCAAACAGGAUUAGAUACCCUGGUAGUCCACGCCCUAAACGAUGAAUACUCGCUGUUAGCGAUAUACAGUUAGCGGCUAAGCGAAAGCGUUAAGUAUUCCACCUGGGGAGUACGCCCGCAAGGGUGAAACUCAAAGGAAUUGACGGGGGCCCGCACAAGCGGAGGAGCAUGUGGUUUAAUUCGAUGAUACGCGAGGAACCUUACCCGGGCUUGAAAGUUAGUGAAUCAUUUAGAGAUAGGUGAGUCCGCAAGGACACGAAACUAGGUGCUGCAUGGCUGUCGUCAGCUCGUGCCGUGAGGUGUUGGGUUAAGUCCCGCAACGAGCGCAACCCCUAUGUUUAGUUGCCAGCACGUUAUGGUGGGGACUCUAAACAGACUGCCUGUGCAAACAGAGAGGAAGGAGGGGACGACGUCAAGUCAUCAUGGCCCUUACGUCCGGGGCUACACACGUGCUACAAUGGAUGGUACAGAGGGCAGCAAGCUGGCAACAGCAAGCGAAUCUCAAAAAGCCAUUCACAGUUCGGAUAGAGGUCUGCAACUCGACCUCUUGAAGUUGGAUUCGCUAGUAAUCGCGUAUCAGCAAUGACGCGGUGAAUACGUUCCCGGGCCUUGUACACACCGCCCGUCAAGCCAUGGAAGUUGGGGGUACCUAAAGUAUGUAACCGUAAGGAGCGUCCUAGGGUAAAACCGAUAACUGGGGCUAAGUCGUAACAAGGUA
This 1233-nucleotide ribosomal RNA is filed under the name metagenome. RNAcentral's name for it is "bacterial SSU rRNA". It matches the Rfam family "Bacterial small subunit ribosomal RNA", at positions 255 to 1498 of the family's 1533-position model. The record is from RNAcentral.